GAUCAUUUAGGGAUGUCCUUUAAAAUGGAUGCUUAAGCCCUAUCCUUGGAGAUCCCACUAUAGGUAGUGUGUUGAGCCUGGACAGCUCAAGUUGACAAAUCUCUCCAAGGUAUUUUUUUUUUUUAUAUUAGGAUUGAACUCAUGGGCACACAACCACUGAGCCACAUCCCCAGCCCUAUUUUGUAUUUUAUUUAGAGACAGGGUCUCACUGAGUUGCUUAGUGCCUCAUUUUUGCUGAGGCUGGCUUUGAACUCGAGAUCCUCCUGCCUCAGCCUCACGAGCCGCUGGGAUUACAGGCGUGUACCACUGCACCCAGGUCCAGGGUAAUUUUGAUAGUUGAGUUUUGGAAACCACUGGCUUCUCCUGUGAAGAAGCCAAAGGAGAGAGAGAGAGACUGAGAGAGGAGAAAAAUGGAAGAUGACUCACUGGGAUGUGGCUGGCAGGGGCUUCCCUGUGCUAAGUUCCAGAAGGGUCAGUCUCCAAGGAGAACCAGCACCUCCACCUGGAGAUCUGGCCCUGGGCCAGGCACUGCCUGAGAUGGAAGUUUGGGACAUGAUCCGUUCCCUUGACAAAAAUAUGAUCCCAUACAGGGCCAGACAGUAAAUAUUUUAGGCUUUGCAAGUCACGUGGUCCCUGUCACAGCUACUCUGCUGUGCCACGGUAGUGCAAAAGCAGUCACAGGCCAUGUGUAAACGAGUGGGUGCGCCUGGGCUCCAGGGGAACUUUAUUUAUAGAGCCUGAACUUUACAUUUCAUCUCAUUUCCACUGUCACAAAAUAUUAUUCUUUUGUUUUUUCUCCAACCGCUUCAACACGUACAAACCAUUCUUAAUUCACAGGCCCUACAAAAACAGGUAGCAGUCCAGAGGCGGCUCAGGGGCUGUGGUUUACCAACUCUGACCUAGUGAAAGAGACGGGGCAGACACGUGGAAAAUAAGCUGUUGGGGACACGGUGGCCCCUGCCUUCCACCAAGAGAGACACCUGCAUUCCACGCACGCACGUGCACGCACGUUUCCAGGUCAGAGACCUGGGUUCCGAAUUCCAGCCCUGCCACUUCCUAGAGUACAACUCUGACCCCGUUUCCUCGUGUGGAAAACGGGAACAACAAUACCCACCGAAGAGCGAGGCUGGGACUGGUAAAGCAGAUAAGAGAGCUAAGUGGGAGUGAAACACCGUUUAGGUGUUUGCCCUGGAUAGCUGGACCCCCCUCGUGUGUCGCCGAGGAGACUAUCCUGAGCAAUGGAUGAGUAACGGGACCUGGGGGUGGCAAAGCUUAAGGAGACAGCAAGGACGGAGCACGCAUGCCCCUUCCAUCCAGCCUGCGGUCCUCCCUCUGCCCCCUCCACCCACGCAGAGGGCUGGUGUUGGGGAGGGCGACUGGGAACCAGCUGGGGAUGGAGCGCGUGCCCCCUGCUGCGGGGCCCUUGGUGACAGGGACAUAGUUCCUCAUGGGAGGGGCACCUGAUCCUACUCUCCCUGCUGCUAUUUACCAGAAGCUAAAAAUAACCCCGAGAGUGACAGGGAGAUGGGCCGAUUUGUAAUUUAAAUAGCAACAGGAUAAAGCAAGGAGCUGAAGAGAUCACAUUCUGUCCCGAAUUAAAAAUGC
Molecule: long non-coding RNA, 1605 nt
Filed under: Marmota monax (woodchuck)
Lineage: Eukaryota; Metazoa; Chordata; Mammalia; Rodentia; Sciuridae
Source: RNAcentral